CCGCACCUUUCUUUGUCGUCAGUUCCAAACACAGUUCAAAGCCUUCAAGUGCUCCAGUCUUGGUCCUGUUCCAAGUCAACGGCGGCAGCCAGCGAGCUCCGGCUUCGAUUCAAGCGAGCGGCGGGCGGCCGCUCCGCCGAAGAGCAGCUGCGCGAUACGCACCGGCGGCGGCUGACAGCAGCACCACUCAACUCCACACGCCAUUGCUCGCCCUCUCGCAGCGACGGAUUCAUGGAGGUCGCGAUGGGGUUGCUGUCGAGGCUCAUCCACAAGGUUGGGGAUCUGCUCGUCGGCGAGUACAAGCUGCAGAGCGGGGUGAAGGGGGAGAUCAUGUUCCUCCAACCUGAGCUCGAGAGCAUGCAGGGGGCGCUCAAGGAGAUUGCCACUGCUCCUCCGGACCAGCUCUGCGAGCAGGACAAGAUCUGGGCCAGCGAGGUGCGGGAGCUCUGCUACGACAUCGAGGACAGCAUCGACAUGUUCAUGGUACACUGCACGGGUGGUGCGCCGUCAGGGCCGGUUGGUAUGAGGGGGUUCAUCCAUAGGAGCCUGAAUUUGCUGACGAGGCUCCGGAUCCGCCGUCAGGUUGCUACCGACAUCAGAGACAUCAAGAGGCGUGUCAUAGAGGCCGGCGAGCGGCGCGAGAGGUACAGGAUCGAUGUGGCUAGGCCUGCUGCUGUCGAUCCUCGUUUGUUGGCUCAUUACAGCAAGGCAACAGAGCUUGUGGGGAUUGAUGAGGCUAGAAAUGAGGUGAUUGGCAUUCUGAUGGAAGGGGAUGAUCAGGUGUCCAACCAGCAUGGCAAGAUAGUUUCCAUUGGUGGAUUUGGGGGGCUGGGGAAGACGACUCUUGCUAAUGCAGUAUAUGAAAAGCUCAAGGAAAAAUUUGACUGCUGGGCUUUUGUUUCGGUGUCUCAAACUCCUGACAUGAGAAAAAUUUUCAAGGGGUUGCUCUAUGAACUUGGGAAGAACGUCAAUGAUGAAACAUUGGAUGAGAGGCAGCUCAUCGAUCAAGUCAGAAAAUUUCUUCAGAUGAAAAGGUAUUUCAUUGUUGUUGAUGACAUAUGGGAUAUCGCAGUUUGGAAAAUGAUUAGAUGUGCUUUGCCUGAUAAUGAUGUUGGAUACACAAUUGUUACAACUACCCGUAUUUCUGAUGUUGCUGAACAAGCCGGUGGUGCUUACAAGUUGAAACCCCUUUCUUCGAACAACUCUCGGAAACUAUUUUUUAGAAGAAUAUUUGGUAAUGAAAACAAAGACAACAAUGAUGAAAUUGAAAAAUGUCCAGAUGACGAACUGGCCGAAGUGUCUGAAAGAAUAUUAAAGAAAUGUGUUGGUGUGCCCCUAGCAAUUAUUACAAUGGCUAGUUUGCUAGCUUGCAAAGCAAGAAAUAAACUUGAGUGGUACGAGGUGUACAACUCUAUUGGUACUGGUAUGAAAAAUAAUAUGGACGUGCAGAAUAUGAGAAAGAUUUUGUCUUUUAGCUAUUAUGAGCUGCCGUGCCAUCUAAGGACUUGCUUGUUAUAUUUUAGCAUGUUUCCUGAAGAUUUUGAAAUUGACAAGGACCGUUUGAUAAGAAUGUGGAUAGCUGAAGGUUUUAUCCAAUAUGAAAAACAGGGAAAGAGUCUAUUUGAACUAGGAGAGUUUUACUUCAACGAGCUCAUAAAUAGAAGUAUGAUCCAACCAAUACAUAACUCAGUAACUGGCAUGCUACAUAGUUGCCGCAUACAUGAUAUGGUCCUUGAUCUUAUCUGUUCCUUGUCAAGUGAAGAAAACUUUAUUACUGUACUAAAUGAUAUGGAUAGCACAUCUCCAUCAAAUACAAUUCGGAGGUUGUCCCUUCAAUUUGGCAAGAAAAGUCACAUGAUGGUUCAAGUUACUAGAAACUUGUUGCAACAUGCAAGGUCAGUUGUUAUCUUUCCAUUUGCCGUUGGUCAAAUGCCGGCUGCUGGCAGCUGCCGAGUUUUACGUGUACUAGAUUUAGAGCAUUGCAAUCUUUCACAGAAUAAAAGCCUCAAGGACCUUGGGAAGUUAUAUCACUUGAGGUACUUGGGACUACGUGGGACAAGUGUUUCUCACCUCCCAGAAGAAAUAGGAAACCUGCAAUUUCUACAUACAUUGGACGUAAGGUCAAAUACUAUUUCCAGCUUGACUUGGAGUGUUGUCCAGCUAAGAAAUUUGAUUUGCCUAGAUAUUGACGUAUCUACAAGAGUGCCAAAUGGAAUCGGAAACCUAAGAUGCCUUGAGCAGCUGUCACGGUUAUGCAUUGAUGAAUCCACCAUAAACAUUAUAGAGGAGUUGGGCCAUCUAACUGAACUGAGGCGGCUGUGGAUUAAAUUGGAGAAGUGGAACGAAAAGCUGUUGGAGUGCCUACACAAGCUACAAAAGAUUCAGGAACUACAUAUUGUAGUCCCUCCUGGUCAACGCAGCAUCGGUGGAUUGGAUGCCUGGGUCGCUCCUCGACACCUCCGUUUGUUGGGUAUAGAAGACUGCUAUUGGUUUUCUACACUUCCGGCUUGGGUGAAUCCAUUGCUCGUACCAGAUCUCACCUGCCUAUACAUCACCGUGAGGGAGCUACAUCAGGUCGAUCUUGAAAUCCUCGGGAGGUUGCCAGCUCUCCGCUUUUUACAUCUGAGCAAUAAGAACUGGGGAAUCCUUCAGGGAUUCAUUGUUCGUGCUGGUUCGUUCCCAUGCCUCGUAUUCUGUUCCUUCUCGCGAUUUGUAUGGCCAAUGGUAUUUCAACAAGGGGCAAUGCCAAGACUCAGAGAGCUUUACCUCUGGCCAUUGUUUUAUGUGCGGGAAGGAAGAGGAAUUGCCAGCAGCAAUGAUGGUCUCGACUUGAGCCUCGGAAACCUGCCAUCGUUGCAGAGGGUCUUUGCUGAGCUCCGAUAUGAAGGCGCAAGCAAAAGGAGGAGGCCGAGCAAGCCAAGGCUACGCUGACGCGUGCAGCUGAAAUGCAUCCCAAUCAACCCAGACAUGAUAUAUGUAUAUUUAAAUAUAAAGAGUCGGAUGAUGGAUCCCGAACUGACAGUGCUAAAGGAAUGCCAGCCUGACUCCUGUUGGUUGAUGUAACCCCCUUUUCCUCCGUAUAAUCUUAGUUUCAUAUAUUUGUCUCAGAGAUAGCAAAAUUCUUAUUCUAAAAUUAAUUGCGUUGGUUUUUCC
Molecule: RNA transcript, 3153 nt
Organism: Panicum virgatum (switchgrass)
Lineage: Eukaryota; Viridiplantae; Streptophyta; Magnoliopsida; Poales; Poaceae
Gene name: disease resistance protein Pik-2-like
Exons: 4
Source: RefSeq, a predicted model, not a curated record